Molecule: ribosomal RNA, 1125 nt
Filed under: Bacillus sp. (in: firmicutes)
Lineage: Bacteria; Bacillati; Bacillota; Bacilli; Caryophanales; Bacillaceae
Description: bacterial SSU rRNA
Rfam family: Bacterial small subunit ribosomal RNA
Source: RNAcentral
GCAAGUCGAGCGAACAGAAGGGAGCUUGCUCCCGGAUGUUAGCGGCGGACGGGUGAGUAACACGUGGGUAACCUGCCUGUAAGACUGGGAUAACUCCGGGAAACCGGAGCUAAUACCGGAUAGUUCCUUGAACCGCAUGGUUCAAGGAUGAAAGACGGUUUCGGCUGUCACUUACAGAUGGACCCGCGGCGCAUUAGCUAGUUGGUGGGGUAAUGGCUCACCAAGGCGACGAUGCGUAGCCGACCUGAGAGGGUGAUCGGCCACACUGGGACUGAGACACGGCCCAGACUCCUACGGGAGGCAGCAGUAGGGAAUCUUCCGCAAUGGACGAAAGUCUGACGGAGCAACGCCGCGUGAGUGAUGAAGGUUUUCGGAUCGUAAAGCUCUGUUGUUAGGGAAGAACAAGUGCGAGAGUAACUGCUCGCACCUUGACGGUACCUAACCAGAAAGCCACGGCUAACUACGUGCCAGCAGCCGCGGUAAUACGUAGGUGGCAAGCGUUGUCCGGAAUUAUUGGGCGUAAAGGGCUCGCAGGCGGUUUCUUAAGUCUGAUGUGAAAGCCCCCGGCUCAACCGGGGAGGGUCAUUGGAAACUGGGAAACUUGAGUGCAGAAGAGGAGAGUGGAAUUCCACGUGUAGCGGUGAAAUGCGUAGAGAUGUGGAGGAACACCAGUGGCGAAGGCGACUCUCUGGUCUGUAACUGACGCUGAGGAGCGAAAGCGUGGGGAGCGAACAGGAUUAGAUACCCUGGUAGUCCACGCCGUAAACGAUGAGUGCUAAGUGUUAGGGGGUUUCCGCCCCUUAGUGCUGCAGCUAACGCAUUAAGCACUCCGCCUGGGGAGUACGGUCGCAAGACUGAAACUCAAAGGAAUUGACGGGGGCCCGCACAAGCGGUGGAGCAUGUGGUUUAAUUCGAAGCAACGCGAAGAACCUUACCAGGUCUUGACAUCCUCUGACAACCCUAGAGAUAGGGCUUUCCCUUCGGGGACAGAGUGACAGGUGGUGCAUGGUUGUCGUCAGCUCGUGUCGUGAGAUGUUGGGUUAAGUCCCGCAACGAGCGCAACCCUUGAUCUUAGUUGCCAGCAUUUAGUUGGGCACUCUAAGGUGACUGCCGGUGACAAACCGG